UCCACCUGGAAGCACGAGGCCACGCCCACUGUAGAUAAAUGACGUGUCUCCAGACGCGCCCCACAGCAGCUGGGAACCGCUGGAUCUCUCCAGUAGAAACACUGAACGGGCGUCCGUGUCCUCGUCCGUGUCCUCGUCCUGCAGCGUCCACACCCUGAUUGGAAAGCUGAAGCCGUCCGCUCUGUUCAUGGUUGACGGGCGGGCAAAGCGCACCUUUCCGCUGGGCGUGUUCUCGGCGGGGGGGGGGAGGUGAUGGAACGUCCCACAGGUAGAACGAGGCAGCUCGUGUCGCCUCAUCAAAAGCGCCACGGCUCCUUUUCGAGAGGGAGCGAGUUCACACGUCGGCCGUUUGCUUUCCGCAGCGCGCUCCGUCUUUAUUAGCGGCCUCCCAGAGGAUUGUAAAGGCCCACGUUUGCUGUUACAAGCUGGUCUCUGAUCAGCUAAUGUUCACAUCCCACAGCAAUGAGCUCAGCUCCCUGCAGCCCGGAGAGGAAGCUUCUGGGAACACAAGGACACCAACGUUACGCUCAUCGGUUUAUCGACGGAACGCAGGCCCUCAAAAGACACGGCACGCAUCAACAGAACAGCCCCCCCACCCCCCGAACCCCCCCCCGAUCAAAAUGCAUCGAGCUGACUACAAAGGAGUGUGUGCCGGGAGGAACGCACCUUUUCUCCAGAGUCGACCUCUGAGAUUUAAUCAGAGCGCAGAUAAUCCAUGUGGUCUUGUAAGUACACGAGCUUCUGAUCCUGGAGGAGAGGAGGUGUCAGCUGACGUGGGUCUGAUCAGCAGUCAAGCGCCGGCGUCUCUGAGCGGACGGGGACGAGGAGCUGGAGGUCACAGAGCGACUCGAUGCCAUCGGGACCAAACGGGAGGGAGAGCAGCGCAGGACGGAGAGUCGGCCAUCCCACUUCUCAGAAAGUGAGAAGAAGUCCAGGGGAGAGACGCUGACUCUGAUGCUUCCAUCCAUCGUCACGUGGAAAGAUUAUUCCCACCUUGUUGUUAUUUACACAAUAUUAUGAACAAUUUCAGUCAACACAAUCUUCUCAAACAUUAAACGAAAGCAAAGCUCAAUUUUUCCUUGUUUCUAAAAAAAUACUUUUACGUUCGUUUGGUUUUUGACGCUUUUAACGUUUGUAUCAGACACAUGAGACGUUUUUCUGGUUGAUUAAUCUGCAGCUCGGCAGUGAGUUAUUAAAGUGUAUACAACAAAUAACAACACAAUAAAAACACAAUUCGUGUAUUUGGUUUGUCCCUCGUUAUCCGUGUUGUUAUCGGCUGAAUAAAAAAGUUCUGUGUUAAUGAA
This is a long non-coding RNA of Gasterosteus aculeatus aculeatus (three-spined stickleback), 1304 nucleotides long. RefSeq lists it as uncharacterized. Lineage: Eukaryota; Metazoa; Chordata; Actinopteri; Perciformes; Gasterosteidae. The record is from RefSeq and is a predicted model, not a curated record.